AACAGCUUUUAAUAAUGCAUUUUAUUUAACCUAAUAUAUAUAUAUAUAUUCCACUUCAACAUGUAACCAAUAUUAAACAUUAUCGCCACUAUACUUUACUUUUUUUUUCCUUGAACUUAGUUUCAAAUUCCAGCAUGUAUUCCACAUUUAUACCUCAUUUCCAGUGCACAGUGGUCAUACCCAGCUAAUGGCUGCGACACUGGACGCUGCGGCUCUAGAAGCGUAUGUAUACAUAGAGGACCCGGCACACUUGACUGAGACUGAAGGACUGAGGGAGUCCGGAAAAGGGAGGGGAGCACCUAAUAGGCAGUGGGGACAAAUCCUCCAAAACAAAAUAUUUGGCAUACUUGAGGGACUGGAAAAACAUUCCGAGCAAUUGUACAAGAGGGAGAAAGGUGGAAAAUGAGGCUGAAGGGGUAGGAUGACAUUAUGAAGGGCUAUUUAAACAGUGUUAAGCAGUUUGGAUUUGUUCCCAGAAGAAUGGGGAGCCAUCAAAAAGUUUUAAAUGGAAAAGUGACAUGAUCAGAUUGGCACUUUAAAAACAAUCAACCUUACUUUAGAGAGAAGAUAAACUACAGGGUUCAUGUGCCAGAGCUGCCACUUGUCAGCUCUAUGACCUUGAGCGAGGGAUGUAAUGUCCCUGAGCCUCAGUUUCCUCUGUGAAAUGGGAAUAAGAAGACCUUCAUCAAAACCACAGUCUGGAAUCAGACAAGACAAGAAACCUGUUUUACUAUCUUGUCCUUCACCCAAGUUUUUGUUCUUAUAUGUAUUUGCUGUCAUAUCCUGAGAGAGUUUUUAUGUGACCUAUAUAGUCUCAGAGUUUUCUCUGGUCUGUAUGUCUAUAAGGGCUGCCACUGGCUCAUCCUUUAAAUAUGUGAUAAGAUUUCUGAGGUUUAAAUUCCUAAAGAUAGAGAGAAAUGGUUCUCAAAACGGCUUCUCAGCAUGGGAAAAAGCAGCGAUAGUGCCAACCAAUAACAGAUCAAUUAUUUAUGGUGUUUUCGAGCAUAGUGACUCACCCAGUCAUUUUCUUGCAAAAUCUUACAAUAAAAUAUUUUAAUACUAAGAUUAAAUCACAUGGAGAAUGUUUCCUUCACUUCUGGCCAAAAUAUGAGCAUCUGAGGCUGUCCCCUUCCUUCCUUCCUGUUCCUGGUGAUACGCCUGCCCUCAUCUGCAUCCUGGAGGGGCCCCAUUGUGUAAAGGAAUGGAACUUGGAGUUCUCAAGAAUACUUUUAGGUUUAAGUGGUAAACCAGGAACAUAUUAAAAGUUCAGUAUUUCUUUUGAAAAAAGAUCAACUUUAAAAUGAGCCCAGCAUUGCUUUCAUGUUAAGCUGCACUGAGCAGGGACCUGCGGUGUUUCCAACAGCGGCAGAGGCAGAGACACAAAACAGGGAAGCAGCCGAGACCCCUUUUGUCCUCUUCCACGGGCGCCCAGAGUGAGCCCCUGUCACCGCAUCAAGUCAUGGCUUCCUUCCCAGCCCGAGCCUUCCAGAACCUGGAGCCUCACGCAACUGAAGCAGAUGCGAAUGUGAUACUUGCUGCUUUCUCUGGAAACAGCCUGUUAAUCACCAAAUUUUACAAUGAUUAAUCCCAGUCUGGCUGAUGGCUUUCUUCAGGGGACUGUUAGCGUUUUGUUAUAUGCAGCCAGACAUUUCUCCUGUCUCCAAGAGAUACUGUGAUAAUCUGUCCUGAGAGUGAGCUGUAAUCCUCAUCCUACUUCCAAAAAAAAGUCCACUGUUUAAGUUUCUUAUUAAUAAAAGAGUACAAUAACAUCUGAUUUCUUCUCAUUAUGCUUGCAGAUGGUUCAAGUAGUUCUAAAGCCUUUCAAAUUACUUGGAAUAAAAAAGACUGAGACCCUGCGGUAGAAGUGUCUUCUUUAGAAAUGUAUGCUUAGGCCUCCCUCAGCUUACUAUUCCUCUAGUAAAGCAAAGCUUUUAAAAAUUGGUUUGUUUUUCUUCCUAUGCACUCUCUAGAAAAUUAGAAAAAUAUAGAAAGGGGAAGAAAGAAAAAUAUGAGGCUAAUCCAAUUUGAGAAGUGUUGUAUAUCACACUACUUACGUCUUUGGCUUUGUAAACUAGGCAGUGUGCACAUCUCACUGAAACCGCCAUCUCCAGCAGUGCGACCUGACGGUUAAAACAAGAAAGAAGACCAUGUCUAGGGAGUCUGGCCGACGAGCCAGGUGUGAGAUAACGUGGUAUCUCCUGCAGUAUGCUACUUUCCUACCUUGUUUUCAUAUUUCAUAUGCUGUGGCUUUUAGGGCUUUGAUGAUUUUUGUUUUGAUGAGUUUUGUAAAGGCUUGAAAGGCUUCUUGAAAAUAUUAAUAGGGUUUUCCUAUUCCAGGAGUUUUGUAUAACAUAGGUCAAAUACACAAUGGCUGUCAGGGUCCUGAGUCCUCAAAAGUUAUCCAAGUCAUUUAUUUGAAUGUUCUUGUCCAAUAAAUAAAGUUGUAUUUAUUGCAGCUUUCGCCUACUAGGUUGUUGGAGACAGGAAAAAAAUCUUCUAAAAUUUUCAAUUAAUACAAAUAUGCCUUCAUGCAGAAGACUGUGCAAAAGUCAAUUGAGUGUAUGAUUGUCAGUUCAAAGUGGAGGACAAGGAACUCUUUUUCUAAUGGUAAUUAUUUUACCUUUCCCACCUGGGAGUUACUAUGCUAUUAAAAUAAUGGCUUAGGGCAUUUUGCAAAGCAUGCAGUUAAAAGUUAAGAAAAUGUAUUUGUGUUUUCCUGUUGGAAAUUUGUAUCUUAAUUGAUUAAUUUGUUCCACAUUAAUAUUUAUUAGUCUUAAUACAGAACCAAUGGCUACAUCCAAGAGGCUAAAGAUAGACCAUUUUCCCAAGGGUUUCUCAAGAAAUGUCCCAUCCAAGUUGCCUUUGAUGUAAGCUUCAUAAUUUGUCACUAUGUGUCAGGAACCUGAGCCCACGGCCUAGGCAUUCUGCUUCUGGGGUUGAUUCUGAGAAGGUAACUCCAAACAUGGGGUGGGGCCAGUGGGAUUGAAGGGAAUUUUUGCCCAAAUUCAUAGUAUAUUUAUACCAGGAAAUUAUUAAAAACAAGUCACAGAUGCAACCACCGGACCAUUAAAUUUAUGCUCUAUACACUUAAUGGAAUUUUUACAUGAUGGUUACAAAGAAUUUGUAGUAAUAUGUGAAAUUGUUUAUAAUUUAGUGUUACGUAAAAAGAGAAAAACUAAAAUUCUACCUAGAGUAUUAUCGCAUUUCAGUUAAAAACAAAAGGAAACCCACACUUCGAUAAAAGAGAUUAAUAUUAACUUCCCAAAGUAGUAAUCAUAGUUAUCUUUGAGUGAUGGUUUACAUGACUAAAUAUUUUUAUUCUGUCCAACAAGCAUGCAUUGUUUUGUAAUUUUAAAAAGCCCUAAUAACUAAGGAUAUGCUUUACCACAAUUGAUAAUCUGACUUUCCAAAGCCUUCCUAACAAAACUGAAUCUGUGAUAUCUUCCCAUGUAGCGUCUUCCUGCACUUUCUCCCCUUUUCCAACCAGCUCUACUCUACAACUAGGCUAGGAGACUCAGAAUACCUCACACUCCCACCUCUGUGACUUGGGCUAUAGCCUACUACACUGCACUCUAGCCUUUAGGUCUUUCAUCCUAAAGAUCCCGUUCACAUCCCACCUCCUUUGGACAGGCUUCCUUGAGCCACCAUGGACGGCUCUUGCUGUCCCCUUCUCGUUGCAUCUCUAUGAAGUAUUUGUGACGGGUAUACAGGGUUCAGCUGAAUGUAGUUUCCAUCUGUUCGUGCCGUCACCAGCAGCACAGGCACCCGCCCCUCUGACCUUGGGCCCCACCCACGUGGGCCCCAGUGCUGACUGCCUGGAGGAGCGUAUGCGUCUGCUGACUGCCCGUCAACUUGCAGAACAAGUGGUGGAGUUUCCACAACACGUAAUGUUGAAUGUGUGUCACCUAGCUUGAAUUUAA
This is a long non-coding RNA of Phyllostomus discolor (pale spear-nosed bat), 3920 nucleotides long. RefSeq lists it as uncharacterized. The transcript is spliced from 2 exons. The record is from RefSeq and is a predicted model, not a curated record. NCBI's taxonomy places the organism in Eukaryota, Metazoa, Chordata, Mammalia, Chiroptera, Phyllostomidae.